GACGAACGCUGGCGGCGUGCCUAAUACAUGCAAGGAGAACGCAGUUGCGAACGGGUGAGUAACGCGUAGGUAACUGCCUCAUAGCGGGGGAUAACUAUUGGAAACGAUAGCUAAUACAGCAUACUGUGAGAUGGACCUGCGUUGUAUUAGCUAGUUGGUGAGGUAAAGGCUCACCAAGGCGACGACACAUAGCCGACCUGAGAGGGUGAUCGGCCACACGUGGAGUGAGACACGGCACAGACUCCGACGGGAGCGAGCAGGAGGGAAUCUGAGGUGAUGGAAGGAAGUCUGACCGAGCAACGCCGCGUGAGUGAGGAAGGUAAUUGGAUCGUAAAGCUUUGUUGUUAGAGAAGCGGUACCUAACCAGAAAGGGACGGCUAACUACGUGCCAGCAGCCGCGGUAAUUC
This 407-nucleotide ribosomal RNA is filed under the name uncultured bacterium. Its description in RNAcentral is "partial 16S ribosomal RNA". It matches the Rfam family "Bacterial small subunit ribosomal RNA", at positions 28 to 526 of the family's 1533-position model. The record is from RNAcentral.